GGGGUUGUGGCUCAGUGGUAGAGCACUUGCUUAGCAUGCAUGAGGCACUGAGUUCGAUCCCG
Ictidomys tridecemlineatus (thirteen-lined ground squirrel) is the source of this 62-nucleotide non-coding RNA. The record is from Rfam. NCBI's taxonomy places the organism in Eukaryota, Metazoa, Chordata, Mammalia, Rodentia, Sciuridae.